AUAUCUACCAUGAUGGAGACAAGUAAUCUGAUGCACCCUAACAGGGACGGUACGCCACCGAUUGAGAGCGCACCGCGGGAGUUGCACUGAUGAAAUUCACUCCGGAGUUGAUUUCCUGAACCGCACCCGGGUGCAGUAAGGAAGUCCGGCACACGCCGUUAAUUGUGUUAAGUGAGAAAACCAAAACAUUUGGCUGUCUAACAAGGGUGGUACCGCGGAUAUAUCCGUCCCUUGC
RNAcentral lists this non-coding RNA (235 nucleotides) under Paenibacillus sp. RNAcentral's name for it is "T-box sequence". It matches the Rfam family "T-box leader". Rfam says of the family: Uncharged tRNA acts as the effector for transcription antitermination of genes in the T-box leader family. T-boxes are found upstream of many aminoacyl-tRNA synthetase genes and some amino acid biosynthetic genes usually in Gram-positive bacteria. Lineage: Bacteria; Bacillati; Bacillota; Bacilli; Caryophanales; Paenibacillaceae. The record is from RNAcentral.